AUUCGAAAUGUAAUUAUAACGCUCUUGUCUCAAAGAUUAAGCCAUGCAUAUCUAAGUACAUGCAGUAUUAAGGAGAAAUAAUGAGUGGCUCAUUAAAUCAAUUAUGAUUCCUUGGAUCCUACCUUACUACUUAGAUAACUGUGGAAAUUUUAGAACUAAUACAUGCAGCAGAACUCCGACCCACUAGAGACGAACACUUUUGUUAGAUCAACACCAAUCGGACCAAUUGUAACCGUGUUAUGUGGUAACUUUGUAUAACUUUGGGCUGAUCGCACGGCCUCGCCUCGGCGAGGUAUCUUUCAAGCGCCUUUCUUAUCAACUGUCGAUGGUAAGUUACCUGCCUACCAUGGCGUAACGGCUGGCAAAGAAUCAGUGUUCGAUACCGCAGAUGGAAUCUGAGAAGCGGCUCCCAGAACGGGGAAGUAGUGGCAAAAAAUAACAAUACGGGACUCUUUUGAGACCCCGUAACUGGAAUGAGUACACUCUAAAUCCUUUAACGAGGAUCAAUUGCAGGGCAAAUUUGGUGCCAACAACCGCGGUAAUUCUACCUUUAGUAGCGUACAUUAAAGCUGUUGCGGUUAGAAAUCUUAUAGUUGGAUCUCAGUACCAGACGGGCAGUCCGCUUACUGGUUAUUACUGCCUG
Non-coding RNA from Stegodyphus mimosarum, 643 nucleotides. The record is from Rfam. Lineage: Eukaryota; Metazoa; Arthropoda; Arachnida; Araneae; Eresidae.